AUGGCUGUCGUCAGCUCGUGUCGUGAGAUGUUGGGUUAAGUCCCGCAACGAGCGCAACCCUCGGCCUUAGUUGCCAUCAUUCAGUUGGGCACUCUAAGGCGACUGCCGGUGAUAAGCCGGAGGAAGGUGGGGAUGACGUCAAGUCCUCAUGGCCCUUACGGGCUGGGCUACACACGUGCUACAAUGGCGGUGACAGAGGGAUGCGAGGGCGCGAGCCUUGGCAAAUCUCAAAAAGCCGUCUCAGUUCGGAUUGGGGUCUGCAACUCGACCCCAUGAAGUUGGAAUCGCUAGUAAUCGCGGAUCAGCACGCCGCGGUGAAUACGUUCCCGGGCCUUGUACACACCGCCCGU
Molecule: ribosomal RNA, 350 nt
Filed under: uncultured Alphaproteobacteria bacterium
Lineage: Bacteria; Pseudomonadati; Pseudomonadota; Alphaproteobacteria
Description: bacterial SSU rRNA
Rfam family: Bacterial small subunit ribosomal RNA
Source: RNAcentral